UUUCAGAGCUCGGUGCUAUAUUUGGUGGGAAGAUGGCUCUAGGGAAAAAGAGCCAGCCAGAUGUGUAUGCAGAUGGCCAAGGCAGGCAGUGCUGCACGUGCUAUGGAAAGAUUCACCCUGGGGUUAUCCGUCACAGGACACCAACUGUGGAAAUCCCAGAACCCACAGAUGGUGUGGAAGAACCUGCCCCAAAAAACAAGAGCUGAGAAGGACCGCAUUAUAAAAAGGGAAUAAUGGCAGUUAUGCUUCCACAAAGGAAAUUUGGGGCAUGCGAAAAAAAAAGAAAGAUCCUCAACAAGCAAAACUAAGCAACAACAGCAAAAAAACCACCCCCACCAAGAUGUAUUGUAAGUUACAAUAAAGCAGUAAUAUUAUUGGGGGGACAUUAAUAAAAAGGAAA
Long non-coding RNA from Felis catus (domestic cat), 400 nucleotides. RefSeq lists it as uncharacterized. The record is from RefSeq and is a predicted model, not a curated record. NCBI's taxonomy places the organism in Eukaryota, Metazoa, Chordata, Mammalia, Carnivora, Felidae. The transcript has 3 exons.